Molecule: long non-coding RNA, 949 nt
Filed under: Astyanax mexicanus (Mexican tetra)
Lineage: Eukaryota; Metazoa; Chordata; Actinopteri; Characiformes; Acestrorhamphidae
Description: lncRNA (ENSAMXG00005004837.1)
Source: RNAcentral
UUUUGUUAAAUGUUUUUGACAUCUAAGUGUUAAAUUUGAACUGUCAUUUCAGACUCUUCAUUAAAGAUGAACAGGAAAGAUCAACAACAGUGAACUUUAGUCAGUUUUCCCAAUUGUGAGAGUUAAUCACCCCACCACCUCCUGACAUUACUCACAACUUCACAAGUAGGAAGUUGUGAGUAGGGAGUAGGUUUAUUCUACCAGAAGACUCUGGAAGGUUCACAGAUCGGCUGCCCACAGGGUAGAGGACAGCGUGGUCCAGCUGCCCUGCCAUCCUCCUCCAGGACUUGGAUUUGACAGUUGGCUAGGACUGGCACAAAGAGGUUCUAACCGGCUCGGUGACGGGAUGGAUACAGGCAAGCCGCCAGAGGUGUCGCUACAGUUUGUCAAGGCAGCUGCUGCCGGCCUCUGAUUGGACCAUCAUCAAAGCUGUGGGAUUGGCAGGACCUCUGUAUGGUACUUCCUCAAAAUGCCCCAUCACAAACACUCCUGUCACAAAGGUGCCUCAGCACUGCUCCAACAUCAUUCAGCUCCCACACGAAAGCUACCUGUAAUACAGGUGUGGGCAGCAGGACGAUGGAUUUAAAGGUCAUACUGGCUGUGCUGUGUCUCAUUGGUAAGUCUGACAGUGGUUUCUUAUCAUUAUAUAUGCAUAUGUCAUUUACAGCACUUUAUCUAAUCAAAUAAAACAAAUUAUUUUAACUUGAAAACUGAUGUAAAAACUGCUGGUGAUGCUUUAUUUUAAAAUGUUUUUUAAUGUUAACAUUUAAAGUACAAUGAAAUGUCAAUGUAAAAAUAUGUGUUUUAAGUCAUUUUGAUGGGAGCAUCUUUUCCUUAAAGCACAUCUUGCAAUUACUAUUGGCCCACAUACCACACAUACCACAGAAUGAUGAGAAUGGGCCAGAUGUGGUUAAAUAAAAAUUGAAGCUGAAUUUGAUGCUUAAAUGGU